RNAcentral lists this long non-coding RNA (5743 nucleotides) under Triticum aestivum (bread wheat). RNAcentral describes it as "long non-coding RNA (TAES_LNC025440)". The stretch from base 3639 to 3742 matches the Rfam family "Plant small nucleolar RNA R71". Lineage: Eukaryota; Viridiplantae; Streptophyta; Magnoliopsida; Poales; Poaceae. The record is from RNAcentral.
AAAUGCCGAUAAGAAAAAGUAAAUUCAGAUUUUACUAAGUUACUUUUUGGUAUUUUCGUAAUGCUUGAGAAGUUAAAAUACUAAUACGAGCAUACAUCAAUGACAAGAGAAGAUAAAGGACAUGAACAUAACAUGACAAGGACACGCAUAUAACUAUCAAACAUGAACAGAGGGAAGAAGCAAGCUUGUAGGACAGAAUAUAUGCAUCACAUCACAAACAACACAGACAUAUAUGUAUAUAUCACAGGACACCACAUACAUAUGAAGAUUGCUAUUUCACUAAACAGAGUAUGACAGGUCAACUAGUUAGGACAUACUAAUCAAGCAUUUAUAUUAAUACUUCUCAAAGUGAUAAGGUAUCAACUAGUUAGGACAUACUAAUCAAGCAUUUAUAUUGAACUUCGAAACUGAACCAAACAGUAGGAUAUUACACUUAUCAAAACUGAACAUUACAUAGUACUGAUUAUUACACUUCUGAAGGUUACAGAAAUUUGAGAGAGAGAGAGAGAGCAGCAAGGUUGGGAAAGGAGCAGCGGUAGGGGUGUGAGGAGAGAAGCAGCAGAAGUUUUCUGGUUCAGAAAAGAAGACAACAGCAAGAGGCGUGGGCAAGAAGAGAGCAGCAGAAGCAAGUUGAGGACAGCAGCAGCAAGGCAGAGAAAAGAGAGAGCAGCAACAGAAGGUUCCUGGGAGAGGGAGCAGCAGCAGAUCACGGGAAAAGGAGUAGCAGGAGGAGUGGAGAUCAGCAAGGGGGCGAAGUAGGAGAAGAGCAACAGUAAAGGGAUUGAAGGAGGAGAAGAGAGGUGGAGGAGCAGCAAGGGGAAGAAGAAGGGCAGCAGCAAGGCAGGGGAAGAAGAAGGCAGCGGCAGAAGGCAAGGUCGCGCGGGGCACCAGACCCCUGGUCUGGUAGGGCGCACGAGCGAUGAUGGUGAAGGGGUGGCGCUGAUGGAUGGUGCAGCGGCGCGAGGUGGUGAUGGAGUGGAUGGAUGGUGGUGUAUGGAGGUGCUGGUGGACGGAGGGCGCGGUGGAGCGGUGGCGCGCUGCCACGCCGGCCUGGCCGCGGCGACGGCCAGAGGUGGAGAAGGUUGGGGGAGAGGGAGAUGGAGAUGCCAGGCUCGAUUUGGGAAUGGAUGCAUCUAGGGAUUUUGAUCCCCAUCUGAUCUGCCACUUUUAUGAUUUGGCCCUCCUCUUCUAUUCAUUUCUUCCCAAGAAGAUCCCCUUCUUCUUUUAGUUUGCUCCCCUAGAUACUUCUUUUCUUCUCACUGAAGUCCUUGACAUAUUUCUUUCAUGCCCUUCUCUCUUCUGGUUAGCCAUGUAUUCGGAAUCUUGAUGAUUAUAGUGCCUUUGCGCACUUUUCUGCAAAAGAAACAAGUGACAAGUAAAUGAAUCCUUUAUAUGAUUCUCAUUAAAAUAUGCGGUAAUUCAUAGCAAGAAUUGAUUGUCAGAUCACAACAGAUGCUAUAUUUGGGUGUCAAAUUAUAUAUAUGAAAUGUGCUUAUCAAGUUCCCCCACACUUAAAUCUUUGCUUGUCCUCAAGCAAUGGCAAAUGACAGGAGCAAGAAUGUGAACCGUGAGCUGACUAGAGAAUGCCAAGUGAAGUAGAUCUCCAAACAAUGCAUGCUUUGGACUUAGCUAGUGAAAAUCAAUGGUUAGGAGUGCUUCAAAGCGGUAGGAUACUAGUAGACUUGACCAUUUUAAACUUUUACAAUGAUAAAAGAGGAUCAACAAGUUUAAGUGAUGACUAUGCCAAAUGGUUCCUAAAGAGAGCAUGAUCCCGAGAACAAAAAGAACUGGAAUUAAAUCUUGUGAUCAAAUCACUUAUUUACAGAGAUAAAGCAAUGAUUAUAUUAUUAUUAGUCUCACCAUAGGAACAUACCACCGAUCCCGAGAACAUGAUAUACACCCGGCUCGACCAAUUAUUAGUUUUUUUUGUUUUCCUCCCCAAAGGAACAUACCACCGAUCCCGAGAACAUGGUAUACACCUGGUUCGACAAUUACAUUUUUUUAACAUAAUUAACUCCUAUCCGAUCCAACCAGAUUUCACAAGCCACCGAUCCAGGGAACAUGACAUGCUACUGUUAGGUAAGAUCAGAUAAUUAUUCAUUAUAAUAUAUACUUUUUUUGAACAAAAACAAGAAUCAUCACUCAACCAUGUCUGGUUCACAUACUACCGAUCCAGGGAACAUAGCAUGCUAAUCCAUAGUGGUUAGGUGAUUGCUCUCAAUGGGAACACACUUAGCACAAGUUCAGCAUCUAAACAUGGUGAUCUAGGUGUAUCAUAGUAAAUGCAGAAAAUGAUGAAGUUUUCUAGUGAACUAGGGAUUUGAGCACUCAAAACUAAUAGUUCUCACUAAUUUUAGCAAAGCAAUCAUUGUAUAGAUCACUAGUUUAUAAGGCAUUCAGAAAUCAGUUCACAUAUUCACAUCAAGCACCAUAUGUCAAAGGUAAAAUUCAAUGGGACAACAUUUAAGAAAUGGCUCAAGCAACCCAAAUAUCAAAUGAUUUCAGCAUGUAUCAAUGGAUGAUAUAUUAAGAUUGGGGUCAUGAAGCAGCUCACCGGGCUUUGAUGUGGCACUCGCUCGACACCCUCUAAACUGCAGCUCUUCUCUUUUUGCUUCUCUAUCCUCAUGCCUGCUCCAUCUUCACUCUUCUUCACGUGUGCCCAUUGCUUCUCCUCAUCACCAUGCCGUGAAUCCACCAGGAUCCCAUGGGAUGUCAUCUCGAACUUGGUCAGCUCGCAAUGAAUGGUAUACAAGCGUAAACCUGAAAGAAAACUCAACAAACAAGCCAAUACAAGUGUAGGGACAAUGCCCUCUAAGUCAUCAAUAGAGUAUCCUAUCACAUAAGCAUAUCUAUUGAGCAUAUGAUAAAUAGAUAUCAUCAACAAAUUGCAUGGUGCAUAGGCAGUAUCCAUGAUAUGGCAUGUCUUUUUGAGAAAGUAGCGAUCAUACCUGAGAUAGUUAGGAAGAAGCUUCAGGACUACCUCAAUUGAAGAUACCAAGUGAGGUGUGGUAGUAGAAAUUUCCACCGGACUCGUGGCAACAAGUGAAAUAGUGGAGCUUGGCUCCUUGACAUCUGAAUCCACCUCACCAUAAUCAACCAUGAAGCUCUCCAUCUCAGGCUCAAGUGUUGAGGAAUCAAUGCGGCUAACAUCAUCGAAGGCGAACUUUUCCAUAUCUAGCUCUAGCAGCACAUGAUCAAUAUCAACUAAAGGUGUCUCCUCAAUAUCAAAAGUAACUAACUGUAGCUCUGGUUCAUCCACCGAAGAAUCAUCACAAUGCAAAACUGAAUCUAGAAUGCUAGUAUCCAUAUGAUCUGAAGUGUGUGUGUCAACUAGGAUGGUGUCAUCAUCAUCAAAGAUAAUCCAUGAAAGCUCAAUCUUGUCACACGGAGAAACUGGUUCUGGCUUUUGUGUAAGAGAUUCUUGCUUAGAUGAAGUGAUUUGUUGCAAGCAAACCAAUGAAUCAGACGUGGGCUUCUUAUUCUACCACUGAAGUUGGUGGAAAGCUAUGCUCUCAAUCAGCAGAAAAGCAUCAUCAAGUGUCUUGUUUGUAAUAGCUCCACCCGCUGCCAUAUCAAUGUAAUCGCGAGUGUCCGAAGUCAAUCCUCUAUAGAAUAUCUGCAGCUCUAACCAUCUCUCGAUCCCAUGAUUAGGACAUCUCCUGAACAAGGCAUUGUACCUCUCCCAAGCAUCAUACAAACUCUCACCUUCACGCUGAACAAAGUUGAAGAUAUCAUCUCGAAUCACGGACUGCUUGUGUAGUGAGAAAUAUUUAUCCAAGAAUGCUUGUGAUAUCUCAAUCCAACUGUAUGACCUUGAUGGCAAGGAUCGGUACCAAGCACGAGCAUCAUCACAGAGAGAGAAUGUAAACAACCUGCACAUGAUUGCAUCUUGAGGAACUCUGUGGUACUUGACUGUAUCUGAAUACUCCAUGACUCGGUGUAAGUGCUCAUAGGGAUCCUCAGUAGGCCGUCCUCCAAACUAACAUUGUUGAACCAAAGCAAUAAGACUAGGUUUCAGCUUGAAGUUCUCUGCCUCAAUAGUUGGCCAAACUGGUCCUGUGAUAUAGCAUUGACUUUUGGGCAUCCAAAGAUCACGAAGCAAUGCCAUCUUAACCGAGUGUAACUAUAGAACAACCUGCAAAGAUUUAUGAUUUCCUACACACGCUCAUAAACAGCAAACACUAGUCAGAAGAUUAGUAUCAUCAUAAGCCGAAGCAACACCAAGGAAAAAAAGAAACACUGAAAAAGAAAUACAGAGUGAAUUAAACGAUGAAAUAAACUAAACCUAGUCUAUAGCCUAACACAAUCGCUCGACGCUAGUCCCCGGCAACGGCGCCAAAAUGAUCAAUUGUAAGUACAGUGGGGUUUUACGCCCAAAGUGCAAGUGUCGUGUUCUCCACAGGGACUAGGCGAUUAGCGGCUAGGUGCGACUAAAGCUAGGUAAGACAAUUCAAGUGAUGAUGCAGGGAAAUAAACCUAUACUAUCUUAGAUUAUCGCCAAAGAAAAUGCCGAUAAGAAAAAGUAAAUUCAGAUUUUACUAAGUUACUUUUUGGUAUUUUCGUAAUGCUUGAGAAGUUAAAAUACUAAUAUGAGCAUACAUCAAUGACAAGAGAAGAUAAAGGACAUGAACAUAACAUGACAAGGACACGCAUAUAACUAUCAAACAUGAACAGAGGGAUGAAGCAAGCUUGUAGGACAGAAUAUAUGCAUCACAUCACAAACAACACAGACAUAUAUGUAUAUAUCACAGGACACCACAUACAUAUGAAGAUUGCUAUUUCACUAAACAGAGUAUGACAGGUCAAAUACUUCUCAAAGUGAUAAGGUAUCAACUAGUUAGGACAUACUAAUCAAGCAUUUAUAUUGAACUUUGAAACUGAACCAAACAGUAGGAUAUUACACUUAUCAAAACUGAACAUUACAUAGUACUGAUUAUUACACUUCUGAAGGUUACAGAAAUUUGAGAGAGAGAGAGAGCAGCAAGGUUGGGAAAGGAGCAGUAGUAGGGGGCGUGAGGAGAGAAGCAGCAGCAGUUUUCUGGUUCAGAAAAGUAGACAGCAGCAAGAGGCGUGGGCAAGAAGAGAGCAGCAGAAGCAAGUUGAGGACAGCAGCAGCAAGGCAGAGAAAAGAGAGAGCAGCAACAGAAGGUUCGUGGGAGAGGGAGCAGCAACAGAUCACGGGAAAAGGAGUAGCAGGAGGAGUGGAGAUCAGCAAGGGGGCGCAGUAGGAGACGAGCAGCAGCAAAGCUGCAAAGGGAUUGAAGGAGGAGAAGAGAGGUGGAGGAGCAGCGAGGGGAAGAAGAAGGGUAGCAGCGAGGCAGGGGAAGAAGAAGGAAGCAGCAGAAGGCAAGGUCGCGCGGGGCACCAGACCCCUGGUCUGGUAGGGCGCGCGAGCAAUGAUGGUGAAGGGGUGGCGCUGAUGGAUGGUGCAGCGGCGCGAGGUAGUGAUGGAGUGGAUGGGUGGUAGUGUAUGGAGGUGCUGGUGGACGGAGGGCGCGGUGGCGCGCCGCCACGCCGGCCUGGCCACGGCGACGGCCAGAGGUGGAGAAGAAGGUUGGGGGAGAGGGAGAUGGAGAUGCCAGGCUCGAUUUGGGAAUGGAUGCAUCUAGGGAUUUUGAUCCCCAUCUGAUCUGCCACUUUUAUGAUUUGGCCCUCCUCUUCUAUUUCAUUUCUUCCCAAGAAGAUCCCCUUCUUCUUUUAGUUUGCUCCCCUGGACACUUCUUUUCUUCUCACUGAAGUCCUU